CAGUAGCCGCGGUAAUACGUAGGUGGCAAGCGUUGUCCGGAAUUAUUGGGCGUAAAGGGCUCGCAGGCGGUUUCUUAAGUCUGAUGUGAAAGCCCCCGGCUCAACCGGGGAGGGUCAUUGGAAACCGGGAAACUUGAGUGCAGAAGAGGAGAGUGGAAUUCCACGUGUAGCGGUGAAAUGCGUAGAGAUGUGGAGGAACACCAGUGGCGAAGGCGACUCUCUGGUCUGUAACUGACGCUGAGGAGCGAAAGCGUGGGGAGCGAACAGGAUUAGAUACCCCCGUAGUCCCUGUCUCUUAUAC
RNAcentral lists this ribosomal RNA (301 nucleotides) under uncultured bacterium. RNAcentral's name for it is "partial 16S ribosomal RNA". It matches the Rfam family "Bacterial small subunit ribosomal RNA", at positions 509 to 807 of the family's 1533-position model. The record is from RNAcentral.